Molecule: transfer RNA, 87 nt
Filed under: Candidatus Blochmannia ocreatus (nom. nud.)
Lineage: Bacteria; Pseudomonadati; Pseudomonadota; Gammaproteobacteria; Enterobacterales; Enterobacteriaceae
Description: Candidatus Blochmannia ocreatus tRNA-Ser
Rfam family: tRNA
About the family: Transfer RNA (tRNA) molecules are approximately 80 nucleotides in length.
Source: RNAcentral
GGAGGAGUGGCCGAGUGGCUUAAGGCGUUGGUUUUGAAAACCAAUAAUGUUUUUUAGCAUUCUAGAGUUCGAAUCUCUACUCCUCCU